This 497-nucleotide ribosomal RNA is filed under the name uncultured bacterium. RNAcentral describes it as "partial 16S ribosomal RNA". It matches the Rfam family "Bacterial small subunit ribosomal RNA", at positions 28 to 507 of the family's 1533-position model. The record is from RNAcentral.
GACGAACGCUGGCGGCGUGCCUAACACAUGCAAGUCGAACGAACCGACCAUGAUUUUGCUUGUCUGAUUGUAGCAGCGGAGGGGAGAUUCACUUGUGUACAAUAUACCUAUAAGACAGGUAUAAUAACGGCAAAGCGGCGCUUAUCGCGGAUAAUCUCUUGCACCACAUGGUGCAAUGGUCAAAUUCGGUGUUUCUGUCAGGUAUAGAUGCAUCCGCGCUGCAUUAGGUAGUUGGUAAGGUAACGGCUUACGACGGCGACGAUGCAUAACCGAGCUGAGAGAGUGGUCGGCCACACUGGAAGUGAGACACGGACCAGACUCCUGCGGUAAGCCGCAGUAGGCAAUCGUACGCAAUGGGGGAGAGCCUGACGGAGCGACGCGGCGUGAGUGAUGACGGUGCCCUGAUCGGAAAACUCUGUUAUUAGGGGAAAACAUAUGUUUUAGUAACUGUGCAGAUAUUGACGGUACCUAGUCAAGAAGCCCCGGCUAACUACGUG